Pezoporus flaviventris is the source of this 376-nucleotide long non-coding RNA. RefSeq lists it as uncharacterized. The transcript has 4 exons. NCBI's taxonomy places the organism in Eukaryota, Metazoa, Chordata, Aves, Psittaciformes, Psittacidae. The record is from RefSeq and is a predicted model, not a curated record.
AAGGGAAAGACGCGCGGCAGCGACGGGUGAGCACGGCCCGGAGGCGGAGGGGUACUGAGGGGCAGGGGCCGCGUUUCUUCACUAUUGCUCUGGUAGUGUUUGGAACAAGGCCAGAAACAAGAUCACUCUACUGGUAAAGUGCACAAAUGAAAACUUGGUUUCAGGCUCACAAGGGAUUUUUGCACAGCCGUGGAUCUUCAUGGAAAAUUGGGAUGAUGGUGGCUUGGAAGUGGAAGCUGUGAAGAUACAGUGAAGGUAAUGGAUGUAGUCAACUCCCUCCUCAGCAUAUUCUUCUGCCUUUAUGGAUACUGAUUCAGCUCAUCAUUUUGAAGAAGUGUUGGUUUCACCAUAUUUGUCUUUUGUGCGUCUUACAUGA